Molecule: ribosomal RNA, 484 nt
Filed under: uncultured bacterium
Lineage: Bacteria
Description: partial 16S ribosomal RNA
Rfam family: Bacterial small subunit ribosomal RNA
Source: RNAcentral
AUUGAACGCUGGCGGCAGGCCUAACACAUGCAAGUCGAGCGGAUGAAGGGAGCUUGCUCCUGGAUUCAGCGGCGGACGAGUGAGUAAUGCCUAGGAAUCUGCCUGGUAGUGGGGGAUAACGUCCGGAAACGGGCGCUAAUACCGCAUACGUCCUGAGGGAGAAAGUGGGGGAUCUUCGGACCUCACGCUAUCAGAUGAGCCUAGGUCGGAUUAGCUAGUUGGUGGGGUAAAGGCCUACCAAGGCGACGAUCCGUAACUGGUCUGAGAGGAUGAUCAGUCACACUGGAACUGAGACACGGUCCAGACUCCUACGGGAGGCAGCAGUGGGGAAUAUUGGACAAAGGGCGAAAGCCUGAUCCAGCCAUGCCGCGUGUGUGAAGAAGGUCUUCGGAUUGUAAAGCACUUUAAGUUGGGAGGAAGGGCAGUAAGUUAAUACCUUGCUGUUUUGACGUUACCAACAGAAUAAGCACCGGCUAACUUCGUG